GACGAACGCUGGCGGCGUGCUUAACACAUGCAAGUCGAACGGAAAGGCCCUGCUUUUGUGGGGUGCUCGAGUGGCGAACGGGUGAGUAACACGUGAGUAACCUGCCCUUGACUUUGGGUUAACUUCAGGAAACUGGGGCUAAUACCGGAUAGGAGCUCCUGCUGCAUGGUGGGGGUUGGAAAGUUUCGGCGGUUGGGGAUGGACUCGCGGCUUAUCAGCUUGUUGGUGGGGUAGUGGCUUACCAAGGCUUUGACGGGUAGCCGGCCUGAGAGGGUGACCGGCCACAUUGGGACUAGGAUACGGCCCAGACUCCUACGGGAGGCAGCAGUGGGGAAUAUUGCACAAUGGGCGGAAGCCUGAUGCAGCGACGCCGCGUGCGGGAUGACGGCCUUCGGGUUGUAAACCGCUUUCGCCUGUGACGAAGCGUGAGUGACGGUAAUGGGUAAAGAAGCACCGGCUAACUACGUG
RNAcentral lists this ribosomal RNA (468 nucleotides) under uncultured bacterium. RNAcentral's name for it is "partial 16S ribosomal RNA". It matches the Rfam family "Bacterial small subunit ribosomal RNA", at positions 28 to 507 of the family's 1533-position model. The record is from RNAcentral.